This is a long non-coding RNA of Vidua chalybeata, 381 nucleotides long. RefSeq lists it as uncharacterized. The record is from RefSeq and is a predicted model, not a curated record. NCBI's taxonomy places the organism in Eukaryota, Metazoa, Chordata, Aves, Passeriformes, Viduidae. The transcript has 3 exons.
UUUCUAACCAGUGAAUCUCUGUGUGUAAAAGACAUUCCUGUUAGCAGGAGCAAAGAACAGGACCUCGCACUUCUCUGCUUCAGACUCUCCUUCUUCCCAGCCCUGACAUGCUUACUCUGAAGUUGAUAGAUAUGCUGCAAAUCUUUGCUCCCAAAACUGCUGCUUCCUCAGACGUCUUUGAAAAAAAAAAACAAACCACAAAUAUCAAGGCAGCAUGAAGGGAUGAAGGUGGCUAUAAAGGGACACUCUGAUGAAGAAGAGAGAAGUAAAAGAGAUGUCAGUGCCAGGCUGGAACUCCUCUUCCAAGGCAUAAGAUUGAAUACAUUUGCUGCGUUGCAGAACGAAGAGAGAAAUGUCACCUUCAGAGGUGAUCUGACAAUC